Carassius gibelio (silver crucian carp) is the source of this 2013-nucleotide long non-coding RNA. RefSeq lists it as uncharacterized. The transcript is spliced from 3 exons. The record is from RefSeq and is a predicted model, not a curated record. Lineage: Eukaryota; Metazoa; Chordata; Actinopteri; Cypriniformes; Cyprinidae.
UGAUAGAUCUCCUCAUAAUGCACAACUUUGCCUCAAGAACCAUUGCUGUCAAUCAAAUCGUUCAAUUGUUAUUCACAAAUAUGUUAAAAACCUACUUUUGCGAACUAGUCCUAGGUUUUUUGCCCGAUCGGAACCAAACCACUGCAGUAAUAUUCUGUGGACUCUCUAGAUCAAUAAUUAUUAAAAAAAUGUUGAAUUUUGUCCUUUGGUUAGCUGUAAAGGGAUAAUUUAGAAAAAGGGGUGUGGCCAAACAUACCCCAAAGCCUAUAAAACCUAAAGGAAAACUCAAAACUUUAUGAAACUCAGUGAAAUCAUGUAACAGGUGACUCUUAACAAGCAUGCAAAGUUUCAUGGAGAUCAGACCAUAGGUGGCGCUAUAACAGUAGAAAAGGUCUCAAAACACAAGAUUUAUAUGGUAAAUGGCCUCAAAUUGUUUGAAAAUGUUCAUAUAUUCACUCAAAAACACUAAAUCUUCAUAUCAUAUGAUAAAUCUCCUCAUUCUGAACAACUUUGCCUCUGGGACCAAUGUUGUCAAUAAAGCUGUUAAUUAAAUAUUCAAGAUUAUUUAAAAAAGUUACUUUGGCAUACUUGUGAUACGGUUUAAGAUGAAAAUCAAUAAAACCACUGAAGUACAAUUCUCUAGACUCUGAAGGUCAAUAAUUAUCAAAAACAUGUUGAACAAUUGCAUUUGGGCAACUAUAAACCAGUCAUUUUAUGAUAUGUUCUUUUCAUAGUGCACACAAAGGCCUAUUAAUACAAACAGAAAGCCCACAAAUUAUCAAAACUGUGUAAAAUAAUGCAUAAUUUCAUUCUAAACAAGCAUGCAAAAUUUAGGAGAGAUUGGGCAAAAAAAAAAUAACACUAUAACAGUUAUGUUUAAAAACACAGUGUUGUUUGAGUAAAUGCAAUUUAUAACCACUAGAUGGCAGCGGAAGACCACUAAUGGGCUCAUUCAGUAAAGUUGAACAGUACUGUUGAAAGGAUUCAUGAAUUCAUGCCAGAACAUUAAAAAAUGAACUGUUAUAACAUUUUAAAUCUCAUUGAGUCAAUGUUUUCCAUUUUGUUCAUACAGAUAAAUCAGUUUUUAAAAUUUUGCCACAUUAUGAUUACAGUUUAACCUAAGAAAUGACAUCUAAACUCUUAAAAAGAGAAGACUUACAAUAAGUUUAUUGUCACCCAUCACUUAUUUCAAAUACCUAUAUCUGCAACAAAAUGUGUGUGCAUGUAAAUGUGUGUCUUUGUCUGUGUGUGUGUGUGUGUGUGUGUGUGUGUGUGUGUGUGUGUGUGUGUGUGCACAUGCUUAUAGAGAAUUAAUAUAUUAGUCUAAUCAUUUAAUUUCAGUGUUUGUGUCUGUCUGCCAGCCUGUUCUCCAUUUUGGAUGUGUUUAACUGUCAUCCGUACAUCCAGGUUGGCUGAGACCACCUCAGAGGCCUUAAUGUGCUUGAACCCCGGUAAAAUGCUGCUUGCAGCUUUAAUUAUUAUUAUUAUUAUUAUUCUUCUGCCCUAGAACUGAACGUGCAGCCCAAACCGUAAGGCGUAGAGAGCUGAAAUUUGGACAGAUCGUAGAGCUCAAUUUGGGGAGAACUUAUCAAAGUCUCAGCCCAAUCGGCCUAACGGGGGCGCUACAGCACAAAAAACAAAAAUUUUGGACAUUUUUGGCCGUAAAUCGUAUACCGUUAGCCGUAGACUCAAAAACAUGGCAUUGUUGCAAUCCUUGGGUUAGCCCGAACAAAAGUGCACGGCGCCUUUUUGGGGUCUACGGCGCACCGUUUUCUCGCAAAAUCGAGCUAUAUCCGAAACCUACUUUUGCGAACUAGUCCUAGGAUUUUCAACCAAUCAGAACCAAACCACUUCAUAAAUAUUCCCUGGACACUCAAUAUCAAUAAUUAUUAAAAAAAAUUGAAAUUUCAAUUCUUACGCGAAACAGUACGCCAAAAAGCGUCUAUGCUAACGUUAGCCAAAUACUAUUUUGACUAUAACUCUUGAACGGAAUGAGAUAUCUUCACCAAACUC